UACGUAUGGAGCAAGCGUUAUCCGGAUUUACUGGGUGUAAAGGGAGUGUAGGUGGCCAUGCAAGUCAGAAGUGAAAAUCCGGGGCUCAACCCCGGAACUGCUUUUGAAACUGUAAGGCUAGAGUGCAGGAGGGGUGAGCGGAAUUCCUAGUGUAGCGGUGAAAUGCGUAGAUAUUAGGAGGAACACCAGUGGCGAAGGCGGCUCACUGGACUGUAACUGACACUGAGGCUCGAAAGCGUGGGGAGCAAACAGG
Molecule: ribosomal RNA, 253 nt
Filed under: Lachnospira eligens
Lineage: Bacteria; Bacillati; Bacillota; Clostridia; Lachnospirales; Lachnospiraceae
Description: partial 16S ribosomal RNA
Rfam family: Bacterial small subunit ribosomal RNA
Source: RNAcentral